Long non-coding RNA from Pangasianodon hypophthalmus (striped catfish), 12712 nucleotides. RefSeq lists it as uncharacterized. NCBI's taxonomy places the organism in Eukaryota, Metazoa, Chordata, Actinopteri, Siluriformes, Pangasiidae. The transcript has 5 exons. The record is from RefSeq and is a predicted model, not a curated record.
UGGAGGACAUCCAGAGGAUCUCGCCUUCUCUUAUAGCUCCCUGAGUGUGAUAUGAGGCUGCUAUGUCAUGUCCAUGUCCUAUAAUCAGUCACCCAUGCCGCCCGGGGCUAAAAGUCAAAGGACUGCUCAGAACUGAUGUAACUCCGCUGCCUAUUUCCCCUUUGAAACUUCAAACUCCAGUUUGUGAACAAAGUCCUGUCUAUCUUCACAAUAGGGAUCUCCGACCACUGACCAAACUCCAUUUGUAACCACUGCCUAUUUGUACCUUCUCUUGAAUGAGUCUUGUUCAUUUCUACUGAACGGGACAUGGCAGUAAUGCCACGAUCUGAAUCACCAGCGAUUUAGCCUACAUGGAAUAGCAUGCUCUUGGAAUAAUUGUGGAUAACUUUGGGAAUAUAUCAGUUUCUCCGUUUGGAUGCCUGGAAGGGGUUUAUGAUGCUUGGCCACCUUGAUAAGAAUGACAAGAGAGUAGAAGAGAGAAGGAAAUAUGCUUGCUCCAGCACAUCUGAGGCCAGUAAAAAAAAGCCAGCGUGGACUCACUGGGGUAGAUGGCACAGGCUCAGAGUUCUGGACCAGCUUGAGAUGUUGUCCUGGACUAAUUGGGAGGGAAAAGGAUCAAUUGACAUGUGAAACAUGCUCAUUUUAUUUAAAAGUGUUGCCCUGGCCCAAGCACCAUGCACAACAGGACUGUAUAAGGAAUUUAAAGUAUGGUGUUAAUACCUUCCAGUGGUGAUGGACAGGUUCUGGCCUGUGUACCUCAUGACAUGUGGUGGCCCGUGAUCCCAUAUGCACUGUGAGGCCCAGGACUCUGCUGAUUUAGCAAGCCUCUCAUCCCACACCUUUCCAAACAGAGAACAACGAGAAGACUUUUUACAAAUUAACAUCACCAGUGUAGUCAGUUGUUAAACAAUAUUUCAAAUAUUUCAGAACUGACAAGGAGGGGCACUACCAUAUACUCCAUGUUUGCUGCAGGUGGGAAGACCUGAGAUCGCACACGGUUGUGGUAUUCCAGCAAAGCCAUCAUAUCCUUGGAGGAAAUGUAGCGCUUCCUCCGGCUGUGAGGCACAUCGCUGCUGCUCCUGUUUCUCCAGCUCAGUUCAAUCCCAAAAUGAGCCACAGUGAGGGGAGAGAGCUCUGUGGUGUUGGUCAGAGCCACAGCUGCUCUGGUGCACGGCAUCGCCCACAAGAUGGCAGCCAAGACCAGGUGACUGCAGCACACACGCAUGGUGCUGCAGUGGAAGGAGCUCCUUGGAUAAAGUCUUGCUACUGUGGAGGAAUGGGUUAAUUACUUAAUUACUUAAUUAAUUAAUUAUUUUUUAAUUAAACUAGAUAUUGAGAAAUACUCUUAUAAACAAUGCAUUAUGGUUGACUCUGUGGAUUUUAUGACACAAAGAUGCAGAUGUAAAUGAAUAAAUAAUAUAAAUAAUAUACUGAGUUCCAUAAAGUUUAUUCAAAAUGAAUUCAGCAUGACUAGUAAUAGAGAUAUAUAAUUUAUCUAGUAUAUAAGUACUGUAGUAUAUAAGUAAUAUAAAUAAGAUUCAUUUUAGUGAUCAUUAAAAUUGAGUACCAAUACUCUCAGCAAACUCAUUACAGUACAGCAAAUAUACAUGCAAGUAUAAAAAAGUGCAUUCACACACACAAAAAAAGAAGUCAUUAUAGAGCUAAACUAAAGUUACCAUAUUUUUUAAUUAAGGAGAAGCUUUGCUAAUGCAAAAAUUUAAAAAAAUAUAAAUGCACAAAUGACUUCUGCAGCUAGGUGAACAGUUGUAGCCACCAUCUGAAAAUAUACAGAAUAUGAGCUCCAGAUUUUGGUUUACCUUGUAAUUAAGCCCUACAAUCCCCCUAGCGAAAGCGUGAGAGCUCCUCACUUUGCAUACCUUCAGUCAGGAUUCCAGCACUUUGGUGCAGCUGAGCCUGGAAGUGAGCAGAGAUCUGCACUUAAACGCCAGCCUUUGCAAACAACACCGUUUGACAGUACUUAACAAGACGUGCGGUGACUGAAGCCAUCUGACGUCGAAGAGAAGCUCUGAGCUUCUUCAGCCCCCACAGGGAUGGUCCCUGGGUUCACAAAACACACUGAAGGGAGUUUUUGCUUUUUCAGCACACACUCUCGACGUGAGCGCCAGGCUUCCCGCCUUUCCUCAGCCAAAACCCACAAAUGGUACUUUUCUUCUAAACAGAAGUAAUCAAUAGGAAUGGAAAACUUCACCUGGGGGGGUGGGGGUUGUUCUGCAAGACCAUUUCUAUUCAUUUUUAACUGGUGGAGUUUAAUAGGUUUACCUAUUAUGAAAAAGAAAUGCAAUCAUUUGUUACUUACCAGCAUAUCCAUAUUCACACAUACUGAAUCCUAAGAAAAGCAGCAUUUAUAAAUAGGCUAAUUUCAUUCCAUUCUCAUUUUUUUUUAUCACCAUAUCAUAUGGUGCAUAUUUGUCUGAGCACCUCACAUAUAGCUCUGAUUUUAUUUUGGGAAAAUAUGUUAUGAUCUAGCAUUAAUGUUAUGUAUGUAUUUUAGAUGCAUGCUGCAUGAAAAAUAAAUGCCAUUUGCCAUAUUUGUUGCCAAAUUCAUCUCCACCCAGAGCCUAGUAGUCUGUUAAAGUGGUGAAAAAGUCAGUGAAAUUUACAGAAUAUUCAAUUUACACCAACUGUAGCAGAAAGCCAAGACAUGUUUGCUAUUUGACAUUUCUGCCAAUUAAAAAAGCAAUAUAGUAUAAUCAUAAUGACGAGAAAGAUUCUCAAAUUUAACAUAACUGUGACUUAAUAUCUCAUUGAAGAUAAUAAACAUGAGAUAAACAUGUCUUUAUGACAGUAUCUCUUUAUUAUGACAAAAUAAGUUAGAAUUAUAACAUAUCUUAUUAUUAUGAAGUCAUAAUCAUCUUUUUAUUUUGACAUAAUUGAGAUACUGAGUCAUAAGUAGGAGAUAUUAAGCCAUAACUAUGAGAAUAAUUUGAUUAUUAUGGACAUGUUCUUAUUAUUUGAAUAGAGAGAGUGUGCCAGACGUCACACGAAUGUGACCUUUAGUUCGUUUAAUCACGUUUUAUUGGCUAUAAGCUGCUAUGGUGAGAAACAGCAUUAACCAAUCAGAAUGAUACAUUUUUCCUGUUUCUGUUUGAAAGCUACCAGCUAGCUACACUCUGAGCUCAGGGAUGUUGAAAUGACAGCUGAGGAAGUAAAGGAGGUUUACUGCAGGGGGAGAAAAAGAAGCAUAGAUCAGGGUUUUAUAAGACAAAAUACUGUAUCAUUUUCCUCUGAUUACUAGCAUUAUCAUUUCCUAGAAAUGAAUUCCUAGCUAAUGUCACUGGUCCUGUGUAUAUUUAUGUCACUAUACCUUUGUACAGACACUUGAUCUUGAUCUAAAGCUUUAAUUAUUUGGGGUGGAUUUGUUCUGACAGCUACAUUAACACGAGAAAGAAGUACAAUAAGCGCAUGGUGGGGAUGAAAGAGAGGAAAAACAUCUAUCAGACAAAAGCCAGUGCACCAGAUGUCCAGGAUUCCAGGAAGGCUUGAAGGAGUCAUGCCAUGUGCAACACAUCUCAACCUAGACUGCUUGUAGUGCCAAGGUACAUGCCACGGACUGGCACAGAUCCACCGCACGGGGUCACUGAGAGCAUCACAGUCCUGCGAACUAUUUUUUUUCACAAACGGACUGGAUGUAUGCCACAAGUAUGACAUCACUGAAGAGGCAUGAGCAAAUUUUUGUCCACAGGUUGCUGUAGUAGUAAAGUGCAUUCUCCACCGCUGACAUCCCCGCUCGUAUUCACGUGAGGAUUCCUCCACGGCAUACGUUAUUUCAGCAUUUACUAAAUACGCUGUGAACCUUUAUAGUAUUUACUGAGGCCGUGUAAUGCUCACCCCACUGUUACUAUAGUGAAAUGGCGCAUGUUUUAGUUCCUCCCAGACAAACAGACAUCACUGUGGUCCAUUGUAGAGUUAGCAAUAGGCCAAGAGGAAGGGAUUUUAAGAGGAAAGUCACUACUGUUGCUGAAGUCAUGGGUUUAGGUUUGCUUAUUCCUAAGACCUUGCCUCAUACAGAAACUCACAGUACUGUUGUGAGGAUAUAAUAAUAUGUUUAUAUAUUGUUCCAUUAAAAAUACACUAUACAAGUAUAAAUAAUGAUACAGUGGGGUCCACUAGUAAAAAUGCUUCUAUUUUGCAUUUUCUAUUUUUUUCUUUACAAAUUAUUUUAUGGACAACAACUUGAGUGAAAGAUCUUUGAAAUCUUUGAAAUUUUUGCAUGAAUUUCAGAGUUUCUUAGUAUUAGAUUUGUCCCCUUUUUCUUUAAUGACAGUGUUGAGCUGGCCUGGACUCCACAAGUUUGUGCAAAACCUUAUGAUCCAUUUUAUAUCAAAUCCACCAGAGUGCUUCAAUAGAAGAGAUUAGGCAUGAGGAAAAUCUGACCUUUUGUACAAAAUCAAUAUCACACAUUUGCUUACAUUUAAAUAGGGACCUGAAAUAGCGCAGAAUCUUGAAUAUUAAAUAUUCAAGAUAUAGAACAUUUACUUUCUUUGUUUUAAAUAUUUCAAAAUUAUUAAAUCUUCUGUUUAUUUCCAAUUUUAAAUGAAAAAAAAAAUCCCAGAUUUUUGUCACAGACUUUUGGACCGCACUGUAUAUAUAAAAAAAAAACCAAGGAUGUGGAGUACCAUUUAAAUAAAAGACGCAGCAGAUGAAAAUGGUUUUUCAAUCUUUUCAUAAGGGCACAAAAGUGUCUUUCUGUGAUUUGAUUCCACUAGCACACUUAACCUCUGAAGUGCCACUGUCCCAGAAUUUAAACACAAUUAUAUUUUCUGUAAUAUUAAAGAAUAUAAUGAAGAAUUCCACUAUUUCUUUUCUAAACCUUUGAAUAAAAAUCAUUCAAAUGGUUGUGAUGGCCAUGCACCUGUUAUGGGAUCUAGGGUUUUGAAGAGUUUAGAUCCAACUCAUGGAAUGUUAUUAUGGAUAUGGUUACAGAUACACCACCUGAUACCUUAAAGACUGCUAUACCACUGCACUGUUGAGUUCUCAAUUCUGAUUGGUCAGAAGACGUUGAUUAAUUUUCUAUAAUAGCAGCUCUGACAGUAACGCCGUCUGCAAGACAAAUCACAUGUUUAUACUAAUGUGCUUAUUCUAAUACGUUAUUAUUUCUACAGUAACAACGUACACUAUACGUACGGACUUGUAUGGUGGAUGCUUCACAAUUUUUUUUAAACAAUGUGUAUUCCUUGAUAUGAUGAAGUUUUUUAGUAUUUUUGGAAGGAGUCUCCAGUGUCAGCACUUUGCAACAAUCAGUGAUAAAGCUGUAACUUUUUCUAUUUGUAUUUUCUCAGUAAUAUGACAAGCUGCAUUUUUCUAUCUGAUUAACUUAAAGAAAGAGAAAAAAAGAGGCAAGGUAUAUAGCUGCUAUAAUGUAAGUGAUAACAGGAACUUGUUUUGCUUUAUAAUACUGCAUAAGACAUGAUAUUAAUUAUAAGAAUGAGUUAACAAGAUGAUACUAAACUAUUAUCAAUAUUAGUGGCUAUUCAUACUGUAUAUGAAUCAGUUGGCUAUUAAUUUAUAUGCUUGAUUAUUUCCUGAUGCACUAGGGAUUAAUGAAAACGUUAAUUCAUCAUUAUGAAAGCAUUAGUUAAGCAUUAAUAUAUUGCUUAUUUGCUGACUUUAUAGUAAAGUUACCAAGUAUAUUCCAGCUUCUCUAAUGAACACUAGUAGCUUGACAUGAUGCAAUGACCCUUUCUUUCCUAGUUAGUAGAAAUACAAGCUGGAUGGAAAGAGGUUUCCAAAGAAAAAUAAUUUUUAGUGAUUUCUCACAUUUGUUCGCUUUACUAGCCUUGCAUAUAUACAGAAAAUACACAGAUACUGUAUAUAUAGCUUCACAAAUAGUUUGAAUAUCAAACAAAAUGGCUUCCUAAACAUUGGAAAGAAACCUGACUGUUCUAGUACAGACCCUUUUCCUUCAAGACAAAAAAACUGUUUUGGAAAAUCUGUGGAACAAAGUUCUUUCAAAUAUAUUACAUUUUGCAUGAGAAACAAGAGUGUCUGAGCGUGUCCACAAUGAACAAUACACACAUAGGCUGCCAGAACUGGCAUGGAGCAUUAUAGGCAUUAUUUAACCACAAUAUAAACUGUUCAUAAUGAAUAUGAGGUUACUCUCAACCAGGGAUGCAGAGGCUGAUGUUCAAGCUGUAGUCUGUUAGUACUCAGUGUUGGAUAGAGUGAAAUGAUGUGAAGAACUGAAUACGUUCACUGAACUACAUUUUAUUUCUAUAGAAAGAUCUGACCAAAACUUCAUAAUAAACAGUUAUAUCAGGAUGGAGCCAUAUACAUGGACAGAUCUCUUUAUGUGAAUAGUUUAAACACAUGGUACACAUGGAUAAACAGUACCUAUUUGUUAUUAUAUCAGAUAUUAAUGCACUGUUAUUCACAUGCUCAUACUAAACAACCUUUUGACACACUUUAUUGUAGUGAUUUAUAAUCAAGGAUCUACAUUUACAUCUGGAUUUCCAUACAGCAGCUUUGUGACCAUAUCUAUUGUUAAAAGCUCUUACAAAUAAAUCUGAAAUUGAAUAUUUAGCUUGAUAAAUUUAGUUAGCUCGUUCUAGUUCAGAAGAAAAAUGCCCUAACAAGAAGAACUUUGCAGCUACAAGGACCCUGUCACUUUGUGAUUUAAGGUCCACCAUUCAAGUUGUUUUCUUAAAGACCCUUCUGAAGUUAGCAGUUCCCAGGGUCAACCUAAAACUCCUGGGUCAAAGCUCACCGCAGCCUGGUCACAUCUGUUUAUACCACUUUCUUUUUGUGCGGUUACAAAGAAAAAUCUGUUCGAUUCAUUGAACUUCCAUUAUUUUGGAAGUUAACACAGUCGUAAAAUAUAUUUACAGAAAAGCCAGGUAUAUCAGGUUUGCUCAAAGAUCAAACCUGAUCAAACAACAACCUCGUGCACUCCAGACUACAAAGCGCCCUUGUGUAGAGCAGCCUUUAUAUUUAGCAACAGGCAUAUCCAUGUCAAUUCUGCCACAUACUUAAGAGUUCUGUCAUCACAUAUGAGCGGUGAGGGAAAAAAAAUGUUGAGCGGAAAUAUUAAACAAUCCGUGCGGCCAGAAAAGAGGAUGUCUGGAGCACGAGUGGAAACCUCUAACCAAGGUUGAAGACAAGGCCAAGUUCUAGCCUUGAGUUCUAGCCUUGAUAACAGAUUUGAGGGAUGAAAGCUAAUAUCCAUCAAUAGCUUAAGCAUUAUGAAAGCAAUAGGGAUGAACAAAAUAAGAACGAUCUGGUGCAAACUAUUUUUUUAUAUUUUAAGUUUGUAAUAUUCAUGCCGUGCUUCCUCUGAAUAGCAUAAAAAUAUGGUAAGCAGAAAACCUUGUAACCCUUUCAUUUAAAAAAAUAAUAAAAAAUUUACCCUUCUGUCAUCUGUUAUUUGGUAUAAUUUGUACUAUGAUGUGGAUAAUAUGUGGCUUUUCCAAAAGCCAUUUUAAGGGGAAAAAGGAUGAUUCACCUCAUUCACCUUUAUUACAUCAGAGACUGUAUUUCACUUUUGCCUUUUUUUGCCUUUUUUUGCCGUUUUUUUUUUUACAGAUGUGUCUGAAAAAUAUCAGCCAAAAUGAAAAUCAAAUCUGUUUCACUCUGUGUAAUCUCCUGACACACUGAUAAUCACUGAUAGACUGCAUAAAUCUACAGUCUGGGCUAGAAAGGAAUCAGCCCCAGCCUCACUUCUUGAUACCAUUCUGUAUAUUUCUCUUAGGACUGUUGGUUGUUCUGCUACAAAAUAAUCCGCUUUAAGACAUUUUACCUUUUAAAAGGGUUAGCCACCCUACAGUGAGAAACCGAGACCUUGAUUACAUAGAUAGGGAUCUCUCACAAAAAGAGAACUGACUGCACAAGGGAGGACAAGACAAAGUAAGAAAGACUGAAUGAGCUGAAAAAAGCUGCACAGCUGUGCAAUUAUCCCCUUGGAAAAAAGAAGAAAGGGGGUUGAGAGGGGGCUACAGUAAACUCAGUGUCUUUACAUCUGAACUCCUGUUCUCACUUGAACAGCACAAAGAGAGCUCACACUUCAAGAAAGUAUUAGGAAAAUCUAGCGAAGGCAGAAUGAGUUGCAAAAGGUGCACAGCUGUGCGAUUAUCCCCUUCAUUGCAAAAGAAAAGGAAAAGGUGAUGGAGCUACAGUGUGUUUCUUGCUCUCUGUGUGAAGUGUGUCACUAAGCAUAGACACACACACACACACACACACACACACACACACACAAGUCUCCAGGUCCUGCCCCUGCUGCUCCCUAUGCCUCUGGUGUGCAGUGAUCCGUUUCUCAUGUCAGCAGUCCAAACUUUGUUUUGGCGGCCCAAAAAACAAAUUUACCGAGUAGCGUAGCUGCUCGCUCUGAUGGAUCGCUUGAGGGGAACGCAGACAAUGGGCUCAUACUAGCCGACCUUUCCUGGAAGAAAAUUGCAGAUGAGUCAGUGGAAGAUUUGAUUGCUUGCUCGCAGGAGAGGCAAGAACACACCGCUUCCAGGUUCAACUGAAGAAAAGUUGGGGCAAAUAUACAUCUCUAAAUAGAUCCUUACAUCCAAGAUAGUAGUUCUAGCACAAACUGUACAGUGAUUCCUUAAAAGGUUUGGUUAGACUUUCUACAAAGCCCAUAUUCAUAAAUCAUUAUAACAUUAAAAGUGCUAGUUUUUUGCAAGUUAAUAGUGAUUCUUUGUAAGAAUUUACCUCUAUAUAAACUGUAAUAAAGCCUCAUAAAGCUUUAAUAAUAUGCUAUGAAUAAUUCCUUAAUGACUUAUAAUCAUGUUGUGACACGUGUCACUAUUCAUUAUAAUAUCAUGUGCUGUAUUAAAUAUAACAAUAACUAACAAUGGUCUAUGAAUAAUUGUAAAGCACCUGUAAGAUUUCUUAACAAUUAUAAAAAAUUGAUAGAUGUCUUCACAGUGGGCACAAGCGAAGCAAAACUGGACAGUUGAAAAUUGGGAAAAAAAAGACCAGGAGAUUUUUUUUCCCAGUUUGCAACUGUCCAGUUAUAGUGAACAUGUUCCCACUGUACACACAAUUUCCUUGUCUUCACUGACAGGAGUGGAACCUGAUGUGGUCUUCUGCUGUUGUAGUCUCACCUGCCUCAAGGUUUGAGGCAUGUCGUGCAUUCUGAGAUGCUUUUCUGCUCACCACGGUUGUAAAGAGUGGUUAUUUAAGUUACUGUCAGCUCGAACCUGCCUGCUCAUUCUCCUCCAACCUCUCUAAUCAAGGCAUUUCCACUCGCAGAACUGCUGCUCACUGGUGGUUUUUUGUUUUUUUGUAAACUCUAGAGACUGUUGUGAGUGAAAAUCCCAGGAGAUUAGCAGUUUCUGAAAUACUCAAGACAUGGUGAGAGUCAAGGAGAUCACUUUUUCCCCUAUUCUGAUGUUUGAGGUGAACAUUAACUGAAGCUCUUGACCUGUGUCUGCAUGAUGUUAUGCAUUGAGCUGCUGCUACGUACGUGAUUGGCUGAUCAGAUAACUGCGUGAAUGAGCAGAGGUACAAGUGGUCAUUCUCGUUAUCUGAAGCACUCUGUGAUUACAUUUUAAUUAUUUAUAAUCUAUUUAUAUAUGUUGCAUUAUAAUUAUGCAUAGCUCAUUAUUAGUUAUAAAGGUUGUACAGAACAUAACAUGGUAUUAUAAUGAAGAAUGACAAGCAUUACAACAUGUUUAUAAGUUAUCAAGGAAUUAUUUAUAGCACUAUAUUAUAGAUUUACAAGACAUUAUUAGAGUUUAUACAGAGUUUAAUGCUUACAAGGAAUCAUUACCAACUUGCAAAGAAUUAUAAGCACAUUUAUAAUGAUUUAUGAAUGUGGGCUUCAUUGUAGGUGUUACCAAAUAUUUUAUUUUCCCACUUGCAGUUUAUUCUUAUGGAUAUUUGAAAAUCUGCUUUGUAAGCAGGGUGGGUUUCCAGUCACAAGAAGUCUCAUAAAUCUCAGCAGGCUUUAGUGCAGGAUGAGCCUGGAGGAACAACCUCACGCCAGAAGCAAUCUCACUUCCUCCGCUACAUGACAUCACUCUGUCUAGACGCUCGAGUACAAAAGCACACUGUAACUCUGUAGUGGUCAUGACUUUUCAGCAACUUUAAGACUGAUGUUGCCUGUUGAAUUUGGGAGGCGUUUAAUAAAUGUGGAGGGGAAAAUUAGCAUUCGAAAAACUGUCACAAAUUAGAAUUCGAAGACCUUUACUGGUAAGAGAAUAAUUUGGUAAAGGUACAGACUACGAGGAAUCUGAGACUUAAAGACUUAAAGACAUUCUGAAACAUGUAGUAAAUAUAUUUCGAGUAUGUUAACUAUAAAUUCAGCUUAAAAGUCUAUUGUUAGAAAAUAUUUUAUUUGAUAAAUACAGGCUUUGCCAGAUUGCCAGAGUGCUAGCACCCCAUUGCAAGUUAAUGUGCCAUAUAAUUGUAUAAUUAUUGGCACCCCACAAUGCAUUUUGAAGAUAUAGAUAAUGAAGCCUCCUCUAUAGAGAGAAUGCUCGUGCUGGGAAAUGUUUAACUGCGCCAGAUGUUUGAAACCAUUUUUUUUAUUAACACGAUUGGUCUUAAUAAUAUUUCAGCUGAUUUUUAAUGUAUUUUUAUAUCCAAUACAUACAUGAUUUAAGGAUAACAGUCAUCAGUUUCAUUUUACAACAUACUGUAUAUGUUUAAAUGUUAAAUGUUUUGUAUCAUGUAUUAUUUGUAGGGCGGAAAGGGGUCGUGGGAAGCUCCGGGGUCCAUGUUUCAUUCCUAAACUGAGGUUACUGUUUGCUCAGAGUUUCUAAUGUUCUCCUCAUCUACUGUGACCCUGCCCAGGAUAAAGCAGCUCCUAAACAUAAAUGAAUGAAAUGAUGAAUUAUUUGUUAAAGGAAGGGUAAUGUAUGUUGGUAAUAGGGGUGUAACGCAAUAGCACAAUCUAUAUCUGUAUUUGUUUAAUGCUCCAAAUAUUCAUAUCUGUAUUUGUAUUCAGAUUUACCUUGGAAGUGGGUGUGGUCUAUGUCCCGGAAACACUGGAAAACAGUUGGGGGAAAAACAGGGAAUCAUGUUUCAUUGCCAAAUUAACAACAAAUAGCAAUUUGCAGAACACAGACUCAAGUCAUUUGGCAACCGUGCAUUCCUUGAAGUGUCCAAGCAACACAAAGUUACACUGAAAAAGAAGAGUAAAAAGAAGAUCCAAAUGCACCCUGUGCACCUACACCACAUCCAAAGUAUACUCACAGCCAGACAUCAGUAAAAUUCAUGGCCAUCUCUUGUUAAAAUACCGGUACUUCAGACAGCACCAUCUGGCAUGACGCUGGAAAGCGGAAUGGAGAGACAAUGAAGCCAAAUGUGAGAUGUGUUCAGGGAAUCAGACUCCACAUUCUCGCCAAGCCAGAGUGCACUGAGGGCGAAGCGUGCUUGCACUUGCAGCAGAGACAGAAAUCUGAAAAUAUCAUCGAGCUGGAUUUUAUACAGGGUUAGUGUGUAAAAUUAUUUCAGAGGUAGACAAGGUCCAAAAAUCUCAGUGCCUAACAGAUUUCAACAGUAACAGUAAAAAUACAAUACUGAUAUUUCAUAGAAUCAUAGAGAGGCAUGCCUUAUAACUCUUUUUACUUACAGAGGACCCUUUACUGGACCCUGGACACAUUUUUGCUCUUGGGUUGUUGAUUAUACUGCCCUCUACUGGAUAUUAUGGUCUUGGGGAAGCUAUUUUGCAGUUGUAAAGCUAUAAGAUAGUUAUGAUUUAAAAUAGCUAAGCUGCUCUCAAACUACACUCAAGAUACUAAGGAAGUGAGGAAGACAUUCUAUUUAUUUAUUUAUAUUUUGCUGAAUUUUUUUCACAAAACAAUAAAUAAAAUAAUAAAUACAUAUUAAAAAAUUGCUUUGUAAAGGGAAUGCCAUAACACAGAUUUUGCUUUUCUGUUUAUAAACCACUCAUUGCAAGAAGUGGUUAACAUUAUGUAACUUUAUACCACAGAGCUGUUGAAUAUUCGAAUCUGAUUGAUCCGAAAAUGUUUACAGGUUUAUUCUGCAUAAAUGCGCUUAUUCUAAUAUGUCAUCGUUUCUAUAGUAACAGCUAAUUCACAGUGACAUGCAUGGUGGACAUUUCACAAAAUCUAAGGCUAAUAAUAAGUGUAUGAAAAAUGUGGUUUUGUUUAAUAACACAACAAAAAUAAUAAAAUACAAUCACUGAUAUGAUGAACAGAAGUUUAUUUGACAUUUAUGGAAGGAGUCUCCAGUGUCGGUGCUUUGUAACAGUCAGUAAGUUUUCCGCCAUGGGAAAGUCUUCAAUGACAAUGACAAUCCUUUUUUUUUUUUUUUUAAGACAGAGAAAAUAAUAGAGGUUGGUGAGAAAAUUACUGUUUAUAGUUGUUAUAGUAUAAGUGACAACAGGAACUAACAUGUCUCACAGAAGUUAUACAACCCUUAAUAUAACUCUAAACAUGUAAAAGGCAUGUAAAAAUUGCUGUGGGGUAAGAUAAGAUUUAAAAAAAAACACUUCGGGAUGUGCUGUUAUAGGAAAAAGGCUCCAUUUCUGAGAAGUAACAGUGAGAUAAACUCAUAUUGCACUAUAACCAUUUUACUUACAUGUAUGUAAUUGCUGUUGCUUUCUUUACUGCAGGUUUUCAUCUUUUUAAUGAAAAAAAAAAUGCUGUAUUAUGGGAUGCACUAUAGUUCUCAGUGAGCAGAUGAGUUGUAAGAUCUGUAUUAUUCCAAUAAACCUGCUUUCACUAAAUGUUUAUCUGCCCGCAAGGUCUGAAACAUUUGUUACAAAUAACUUGCAUUAAAA